GGGCGAUUGGCGAAAUCGGUAGACGCAACGGACUCAAAAUCCGUCGGGAAACCAUGUCGGUUCGAGUCCGACAUCGCCCACCA
This 83-nucleotide transfer RNA is filed under the name Acholeplasma hippikon. Its description in RNAcentral is "tRNA-Leu(caa)". It matches the Rfam family "tRNA". From Rfam's summary of the family: Transfer RNA (tRNA) molecules are approximately 80 nucleotides in length. Their secondary structure includes four short double-helical elements and three loops (D, anti-codon, and T loops). The record is from RNAcentral. Lineage: Bacteria; Bacillati; Mycoplasmatota; Mollicutes; Acholeplasmatales; Acholeplasmataceae.